Molecule: ribosomal RNA, 435 nt
Filed under: Triticum aestivum (bread wheat)
Lineage: Eukaryota; Viridiplantae; Streptophyta; Magnoliopsida; Poales; Poaceae
Description: partial small subunit ribosomal RNA
Source: RNAcentral
AUGACGAGCACUACCAAUGCCGCGGUAAUUUCCUGCAUUGUUGUAGUUUUCCUUCAGGUGUCGUGCACCGUUUCCCAACACCCCACGGAAGCGAAGUUCGAGCUUCAACAGAACGUCCCCGCCGUGAUGACGGUGAACGGCUUCCAGCAAGGAGAGGGGGGCGGCGGGCCGGCGGCAUGCGACGGCCAGUACCACAGCGACGAUGACUUGGUGGUGUCGCUGUCCUCGGAGUGGUACGCUGGCGGCGCCCGGUGCGGCAGGAUAAUCCGCAUCGCCGACCCUUCCAAUUCCAAUUUUGGCACAAACGCCAUGGUCGUCGACGAGUGCGCCGCCUGCGACAACGAGGUCGGCGCGUCGUCAGGUAUCUGGAAUAACUUCGAUCUUGGCACCAGCCUCGGCCAGGUGGACACCACAUGGUCGGAUGUGGACUUCUGA